UUAUUUCUUGUUUUUGAUUCAGACAUCAAGACUGAUCUAAGCAUAAAGUUGGCGCCCGAAAGCGCCAAAGCACGUUUUGCUUCCACAGGUUUACAAGGUUGAAGGCCUAGGGCCAUUCGUUAAUGAUCCCUCCGCAGGUUCACCUACGGAGA
This 152-nucleotide unclassified non-coding RNA is filed under the name uncultured fungus. RNAcentral's name for it is "sequence contains ITS1". Lineage: Eukaryota; Fungi. The record is from RNAcentral.